CCUGUUUCUAGUGAGCCAAGCUAUGUUGUUCUCCUGUUUUCCCUGUCCUGUUGGUGGUCUCCUCAUAGGAGUAUGUAAUCUAUGUACUUAAGUGUCGUAGGGUGUAGUGUGCGGGGAGUGGCCCUGGUAUGGCUAUUCCUAUUGGGGCGGUGACGUGUGUUGGGAAAUAGUUCUGUGUUGUUCCAUGGGGCAGGCUGGGUCUGUCUCAUUGUUCUCUGGGUAUCUAGUUUGACGUUGCUGGGUUACCGUUUAAAGUAAUGACAUGCAACUAGGAGUCUAUGAGAUGUGGUAUUGAUAAAGGGCUUAUGGCUGACGCAUCUUAUGGGCUUCUAGGUUGUCUGGGCCAAGUCGUGGAGCAGGUCUCAGCCACCACCAAUGCGAUCCAUGUGCAUCCAACUUUCCUUUUACACCUGUCCCGCAUAGGUCACUCCUGUGUUCACUCCCUGGGCCCGUUUGAAUAGUUACUGUUAGGUACUUGUGCCCAGCAUGGGCAAGGGUUUGUAUAGAGGGGUGACCCACUAGGUGAGAGCGCGAGAUGCUUGGGGGUGGGUAGAGAGAAGGGAUGAGAGAUAUGGGGGGGGGGGGAAUUGUGUCCCACCUCGUAUGCCAAGAUGAUCAACCACGGGGUCCAGGUCUGAAUGCAUCUUUCCGAACGUCCUUCCAAUGCUGCCGUUAGUGUUUCCAUGGUAUAAAUCUCACCAACUCUGUAGACCCAUUGCUGGAAGGUAGGCUUCCCCCUCUGCUUCCAUAAUGCCGGUAUCAGUGAUUUUGCUGCGGUCAGCAGGUGUUUGGCCAAAGAUUUCUUAUAGGUUUUUAUGGGCAUGUCAGUAUGGUGUAGGAGCAUGGGG
Molecule: non-coding RNA, 848 nt
Organism: Pelobates cultripes (western spadefoot toad)
Lineage: Eukaryota; Metazoa; Chordata; Amphibia; Anura; Pelobatidae
Source: the annotation of a GenBank genome assembly